CGCUCUUUGUAAUAAUAAUUAAGAUAAAGAGUCGGACCUGCCCAGUGACGUAGUGUUAAACGGCCGCGGUACUCUGACCGUGCAAAGGUAGCAUAAUCAUUUGCCUUUUAAUUGGGGGCUUGUAUGAAUGGUUUGACGAGAGCUAAGCUGUCUCCUUUUUAAAUAUUUAGAAAUUAAUUUGUAGGUGAAGAGGCCUACAUACAUUUGAGGGACAAGAAGACCCUGUUGAGUUUAAGUGUAACUAGAAAUUAAUUGUUGCUUGUGAUGUUAUAUCAUAAGUAGUAAGAGUUGUAUAUAUAUAGAUUAGAUUUUUUUUUAAUCUUUAGUUGGGGCGACUAAGGAGCAUAAAGAGCUUCCUUUAAUAGAUCAUGGCUGGCGGGUUAGUUUGAUCCAAUUUUUAUUGAUUAAAGGAAAAAAUUACCACAGGGAUAACAGCGUAAUCUUUUUGGAGAGUUCAUAUCGAAGAAAGGGUUUGCGACCUCGAUGUUGGACUAAGAUAUCCUAGGGGUGUAGAAGCUCCUGAAGGUUGGUCUGUUCGACCAUUAAAAUCUU
Molecule: ribosomal RNA, 552 nt
Filed under: Zetela sp. 3 LS-2013
Lineage: Eukaryota; Metazoa; Mollusca; Gastropoda; Trochida; Solariellidae
Description: partial 16S ribosomal RNA
Rfam family: Bacterial large subunit ribosomal RNA
Source: RNAcentral